RNAcentral lists this long non-coding RNA (1497 nucleotides) under Homo sapiens (human). RNAcentral's name for it is "HSALNT0343074". Lineage: Eukaryota; Metazoa; Chordata; Mammalia; Primates; Hominidae. The record is from RNAcentral.
UGUAUCAACAUAUGAUAAAAUAGAGCAUUUUAAAAACAAGUUUUUGAAAAGAUUAAGAAUUUAUAAAAAGCUCUAAGAAGGAAACUUCAAAUACGGAUCUCAAUCACAAGCAAGGGUAAUGAGGACCCAGUGACCAUGAAGAGGCUCCAGAACUUCAUGACCUUCUGUUAUGAAAAGUUACUUAUAGUACUAUCUGUGCUCAACAGAAAAGUGCCUACUGAAGAUUUCAUCUGGAUUUGCACAACACCAUGACUUAAAGAUUAUCCUAUGUGCCAGAUAGCUGUGUAUUCACAGUCAUCUAUUUUCUCGUGCUCCUGGGCUCGCAGAGAGACAUUGCUCGCCCUUAAGUGUUGUUAUAUAACUGAGGUCUAGUAAAUGGAAUGCAAAAGAGUUAUAUGCCACUUUCAGUCUAGUCCAAGCCUGUCCAACCCAUAGCCUGCAUGUGGGCUGCAUGUGGCCCAGGACAGCUUUGAAUGUGGCCAAACACAAAUUCGUGAACUCUCUGGAAACAUUAUGAGAUUUUUUUUUUUUUGCAAUUUUUUUUUCUUUUUCAGCUCAUCAACUAUCGUUAGUGUAUUUUAUGUUUUGUCCAAGACAAUUUUUCUUCUACCAGUGUGGCCUAGGGAAGCUAAAAGACUGGACACCCUGGUCUAGCCCAUAAGGGCAACUGCAUGAUCUUCUCUGCUCUCUCUCUUCCUCUGUCAGUCCUCUAAUGUCAAAGAAUUCAGCCAAGGACUGGGAGUUCUGAGGAGAUGGUGGGACUACAGAACAUAAACAGCCCCUCUUCCUCUCACUCAUUGGACUUCAUGUGAGCAAGAAAUAAACUUUUAUCGUGUUAAUCUACUUAUACUUCGAGGUUGUCCCUAAACGAAUGCAGAAUGAUCAAAAGUAUCAGGUUACAGAUGAUAGUUUUAAAGGCUGAAACAGAACCAGAGAUUGUCGAAACCAGGCAUUUACCUGACAGAUCUGCGUGCAACCCGUGCAGCACAUCACCACCUUCCUGCAAUACACAACAAGCAGGAAGGAGAGUCAUGCCCUCUCCACCAUCUGUCCAGGACUUUAGGAUCAACAUCUCUUCAGGCUGAGCUCUCCAAACUUAAAAAAGACACAUGCCUCUUAAUAAAAAUAAUCUAAAAUCUGUUUUACAGAUGAAAAACUGGAGGCUUGGAGAGUUCAAAUGAUUUGUCCAAGAUCACUGAUUUACUUAAUCAUUAAAUCAGGACUAUAGACAAAGUCCCCUAACUUGUAGUCCUGGUGAUUCAUAUUUACAGGGCAUUAAAAGCAGCUCUGUUCUGAAGUACAUUGGGAUAAUUAUCAGGUAUAAAGUUCUGGAUUGUAGGCAAGUGAGUAUCUGUGGCAGAUUAAAAAUGAGUAAGUCCUAUUGGCUUCUACUCUCCAAGAUUUUCCCUCUCCUUUUCUCCUCUCUAUUCACCCUAUAGUGCAUUUCUCUUCUCAGUGACAGUAUUAGUGAAAAUCCUUAGGAUUUCAUCAAUUUAC